This 1179-nucleotide ribosomal RNA is filed under the name uncultured archaeon. RNAcentral's name for it is "bacterial SSU rRNA". It matches the Rfam family "Archaeal small subunit ribosomal RNA", at positions 94 to 1272 of the family's 1478-position model. The record is from RNAcentral.
UAACACGUAGUCAAUCUACCCUAUGGACGGGGAUAACCUCGGGAAACUGAGAAUAAUACCCGAUAGAUCAUAAUACCUGGAAUGGUUUAUGGUUAAAAUGAUUUUUCGCCGUAGGAUGGGACUGCGGUCUAUCAGCUUGCUGGUGAGGUAAUGGCCCACCAAGGCUAAGACAGAUACGGGCUCUGAGAGGAGAAGCCCGGAGAUGGGUACUGAGACACGGACCCAGGUCCUAUGGGGCGCAGCAGGCGAGAAAACUUUGCAGUGUGCGAAAGCACGACAAGGUUAAUCCGAGUGUUUUCUGCUAAAGAAAUCUUUUGUUAGUUCUAAAACCACUAACGAAUAAGGGGUGGGCAAGUUCUGGUGUCAGCCGCCGCGGUAAAACCAGCACCUCAAGUGGUCAGGAGGAUUAUUGGGCCUAAAGCAUCCGUAGCCGGCUAUGUUAGUUUUCGGUUAAAUCCAUGUGCUCAACACAUGGGCUGUCGAGAAUACUGCAUAGCUAGGGAGUGGGAAAGGUAGACGGUACUCGAUAGGAAGGGGUAAAAUCCUUUGAUCUAUUGAUGACCACCAGUGGCGAAGGCGGUCUACCAGAACACGUCCGACGGUGAGGGAUGAAAGCUGGGGGAAGCAAACCGGAUUAGAUACCCGGGUAGUCCCAGCUGUAAACUAUGCAAACUCAGUGAUGCAUUGGCUUGUGGCCAGUGCAGUGCCGCAGAGAAGUCGUUAAGUUUGCCGCCUGGGAAGUACGUACGCAAGUAUGAAACUUAAAGGAAUUGGCGGGGGAGCACCACAAGGGGUGAAGCCUGCGGUUCAAUAGGAGUCAACGCCAGAAAUCUUACCCGGAGAGACAGCAGAAUGAAGGUCAAGUUGAAGACUUUACCAGACAAGCUGAGAAGUGGUGCAUGGCCGUCGCCAGCUCGUGCCGUGAGAUGUCCUGUUAAGUCAGGUAACGAGCGAGAUCCUUGCCUCUAGUUGCCACCAUUACUCUCAGGAGUAAUGGGGCGAAUUAGCGGGACUGCCGUAGUUAAUACGGAGGAAGGAGAGGGCCACGGCAGGUCAGUAUGCCCUGAAACUCUGGGGCCACACGCGGGCUGCAAUGGUAGUGACAAUGGGUUCCGAAUCCGAAAGGAGGAGGUAAUCCUCAAACGCUACCACAGUUAUGACUGAGGGCUGCAACUCGCC